AUUUUCCUUCUGCCUUUUGAAGUCGAGCCGUUGCCAUCUCCCUUCCACCAUUUCAGACCCAUUUCCGACCGGCCACAACGACGACGACGGCGCCUCUACGGUGGAACGCGCUGAAGCGCGGGGCAACGUGCGUAACGUGCGGGGCGACGUGCGCGACGUGCAGGGGGCUACUGCGUGUGAGGUGACGUGGCGAUGGUGGUUCUGGGGCUGUCUGCUACUUAAGGGGUUUUUUUAGUGCUUUGGGCUAGUGGGUUACGGUUUGUAAUGGGCUUUAGGUUUAGUUGGGCCCAGGCCAAAAAUUGGGUAUUACAAUUGUACUUUUAAAUAUUUUAAUAAAAUAUUCAGGUGAUAUUUUUAAAUUAA
Long non-coding RNA from Gossypium raimondii (Peruvian cotton), 363 nucleotides. RefSeq lists it as uncharacterized. The transcript is spliced from 2 exons. The record is from RefSeq and is a predicted model, not a curated record. Lineage: Eukaryota; Viridiplantae; Streptophyta; Magnoliopsida; Malvales; Malvaceae.